RNAcentral lists this unclassified non-coding RNA (249 nucleotides) under uncultured fungus. RNAcentral's name for it is "sequence contains ITS2". The stretch from base 1 to 52 matches the Rfam family "5.8S ribosomal RNA", at positions 103 to 154 of the family's 154-position model. Lineage: Eukaryota; Fungi. The record is from RNAcentral.
AACGCAUAUUGCGCCCUUUGGUAUUCCGAAGGGCAUGCCUGUUCGAGCGUCAUUAUCACCUAUCAAGCUAGGCUUGUUAUUGGACUUUUUGGUUUCACGACCGGUCUGAAAGAUAGCAGACAGGACCCGACAGCCCUGGAUAUAACAAGCUUUUGAAAGCACAUAUCUGUCGGCCAGCGGGCCCCUGUCUUUAAGCCCCCAUUUUCUCAGGUUGACCUCGGAUCAGGUAGGAAUACCCGCUGAACUUAA